RNAcentral lists this ribosomal RNA (497 nucleotides) under uncultured bacterium. Its description in RNAcentral is "partial 16S ribosomal RNA". It matches the Rfam family "Bacterial small subunit ribosomal RNA", at positions 28 to 507 of the family's 1533-position model. The record is from RNAcentral.
GAUGAACGCCGGCGGCGUGCCUAAUACAUGCAAGUCGAGCGAACAGACGAGGAGCUUGCUCCUCUGAUGUUAGCGGCGGACGGGUGAGUAACACGUGGAUAACCUACCUAUAAGACUGGGAUAACUUCGGGAAACCGGAGCUAAUACCGGAUAAUAUAUUGAACCGCAUGGUUCAAUAGUGAAAGACGGUUUUGCUGUCACUUAUAGAUGGAUCCGCGCUGCAUUAGCUAGUUGGUAAGGUAACGGCUUACCAAGGCAACGAUGCAUAGCCGACCUGAGAGGGUGAUCGGCCACACUGGAACUGAGACACGGUCCAGACUCCUACGGGAGGCAGCAGUAGGGAAUCUUCCGCAAUGGGCGAAAGCCUGACGGAGCAACGCCGCGUGAGUGAUGAAGGUCUUCGGAUCGUAAAACUCUGUUAUUAGGGAAGAACAAAUGUGUAAGUAACUAUGCACGUCUUGACGGUACCUAAUCAGAAAGCCACGGCUAACUACGUG